Molecule: long non-coding RNA, 907 nt
Organism: Nymphaea colorata (pocket water lily)
Lineage: Eukaryota; Viridiplantae; Streptophyta; Magnoliopsida; Nymphaeales; Nymphaeaceae
Exons: 2
Source: RefSeq, a predicted model, not a curated record
UGUUCCCUUCCAUAUUUAAAUUCAGUUUUUUGGCUCCCUUCACGUCCGCGUGAAUCUGGUGCUGCUUCGUCUCUUCAUUUUUCCUUUUUCCUCCCCCCCCCUUCUCUCCCAUCCUCAUCUCUCUCUCUCUGUCUCUCUUCCUGGGACGGAGCUUCCGCGCCAAGUAGAAGCGAAAUCCGUCUGAAGUAACGACUUCUUCCUUGCGGAAUAGCGACGAUAUCUCGUGAACCUUCACUUCCUUGCACGCUGUACGAAACUCCGGCGGAUUUUUGGGGGAUUUCCCGAUCUCGCGGCGUUUCUUUGUGGAAAGCGGUGUAGAGUUGAUUUUUCUUCUGCAUCGACGUUUAUCGGAGCAUUCUCAGCUCGGAUCUGAGAAAUUACCGGAAGAUUUUGUGUUUCUGGUGUUUAGCGCGUGAAUCGAGAGAGACGGAGUUGAAUCUGCAUGAUUGGUGGAGGUUUUUGGGAGAUCGAUCUGGAAGGUCUAGAGAAAGAGGGGCGUAGAGGGUUGGAUUGUUUCUCUGUGAGCAGAUCUGGAAGGUUUGAGUCGAAAGAGAAAAUAUCGUGUUCGACGGGCUUCUUCUGUCCAAGGUAACGGACUCGCUUUGAGGGUUUUCUCCGAAGUUGCAAAGCGUUUUUGGCACAUGAAAAUCUACGUGUUGUUCAGCAGACCCAGACUAAAAAGGGGAUCGGAUGGGUUCAGGGUCUUCAGACUUGUAAGCUAGUCAGAGAAGUCAGCUUUUUAUCCGCAUCCCUCGUUUCGGGUUGCAAUUCUUGCAAUUGGGUGCUUUAACUCAGAUGACCAGUGUUGCAUAGAUUUUCCUUGCGAAGGCACAGAUAUUUAAUUUAAUUCAGAUCGUGUAUUUGCAAGCUUGAAGCGUUUGCGUCAAUGGAAACUCUUGUUCUCUUA